Molecule: ribosomal RNA, 921 nt
Filed under: Rhytisma andromedae
Lineage: Eukaryota; Fungi; Ascomycota; Leotiomycetes; Rhytismatales; Rhytismataceae
Description: eukaryotic LSU rRNA
Rfam family: Eukaryotic large subunit ribosomal RNA
Source: RNAcentral
CAGGGAUUGCCUCAGUAACGGCGAGUGAAGCGGCAACAGCUCAAAUUUGAAAGCUGGCUCCCUUGGAGCCCGCGUUGUAAUUUGCAGAGGAUGUUUCGGGCGCGGCGCCGGUCUAAGUUCUUUGGAACAGGACGUCAUAGAGGGUGAGAAUCCCGUAUGUGACUGGUGGCCUGCGCUCAUGUGAAACUCCUUCGACGAGUCGAGUUGUUUGGGAAUGCAGCUCAAAAUGGGAGGUGUAUUUCUUCUAAAGCUAAAUAUGGGCCGGAGACCGAUAGCGCACAAGUAGAGUGAUCGAAAGAUGAAAAGCACUUUGGAAAGAGAGUUAAACAGUACGUGAAAUUGUUGAAAGGGAAGCGCUUGCAAUCAGACUUGCGCGGCGCCGAUCAGCUCGGGUUCUCCCAGGUGCACUCGGCGCCGCUCAGGCCAGCAUCGGUUUCGGCGGUGGGACAAAGGUUCAGGGAACGUAGGCGGUCUCGGCCGCCGUUAUAGCCCUGGGCGCAAUGCCGCCAGCCGGGACCGAGGGCCGCGCCUUCGGGCUAGGAUGCUGGCGUAAUGGUUGUAAGCGACCCGUCUUGAAACACGGAUCAAGGAGUCUAACAUCUAUGCGAGUGUUUGGAUGUCAAAUCCAUGCGCGGAAUGAAAGUGAACGGAGGUGAGAGCCCAUCAGGGUGCAUCAUCGACCGGUCCUGAUGUCUUCGGAUGGAUCUGAGUAAGAGCAUAGCUGUUGGGACCCGAAAGAUGGUGAACUAUGCCUGAAUAGGGUGAAGCCAGGGGAAACCCUGGUGGAGGCUCGCAGCGGUUCUGACGUGCAAAUCGAUCGUCAAAUUUGGGUAUAGGGGCGAAAGACUAAUCGAACCAUCUAGUAGCUGGUUCACGCCGAAGUUUCCCUCAGGAUAGCAGUGUUGUAUUCNGUUUUAUGAG